UCAGGACGAACGCUGGCGGCGUGCUUAACACAUGCAAGUCGAACGGGGUACUUGUACCCAGUGGCAAACGGGUGAGUAAAGCGCAAAUAACCUGCCGCAUUGAUGGGGACAACAAAUCGAAAGGUUUGCUAAUACCGAAUGCUGUACGGGAUUCGCAUGGAUUCUGUACUAAAGAUUUAUCGCGGUGCGAGGGGUUUGCGUCUGAUUAGAUAGUUGGCAGAGUAAAGCCUACCAAGUCGACGAUCAGUAACCGGUCUGAGAGGAUGAACGGUCACAAUGGAACUGAGACACGGUCCAUACUCCUACGGGAGGCAGCAGUGGGGAAUAUUCCACAAUGGGCGAAAGCCUGAUGGAGCGACGCCGCGUGAAGUGAAGAAGGGUUUCGACUCGUAAAGCUCUUUUCUGAUAGACGAAUGACCAAUUAGAUUGGUAGAGACGGUAUAUGAGGAAUAAGCCACGGCUAACUACGUGCCAGCCGCAGC
RNAcentral lists this ribosomal RNA (482 nucleotides) under uncultured bacterium. Its description in RNAcentral is "bacterial SSU rRNA". It matches the Rfam family "Bacterial small subunit ribosomal RNA", at positions 24 to 518 of the family's 1533-position model. The record is from RNAcentral.